CUCGUACAUAAUAUGUGUGCGUUAACAGGUGACAUCAGGGGAUUAUAUAUUGUGGAACACAUUGGGGAAGGCUCCAUCUGCAGCCGUCUUGUAAAACCGCCAAGUCUCUUGUCCCUCACUGGUGUUUUAUUUUCUCAUCCCAGAGGAAGUGCGAUUUGUUUCUCUGUUUCUCGAGUGUGAAAUCUUUAAAUGUAUGAGCAUUUUUUUUAUUUUUUUGCCGCGGAAGUGGAUCUUGUACAUUAUUAUUGUUUCUUAAAGGGACAAAAGGACUUGAAGGAACUUCACUGGCACAACCAGAUUCCGGUGAUGAUCAUAUCAACUGCUGGUGAUGGUUUCAACAUCUUAAUGCCUUACAACAUUCAGAACACACUUCCGUCUGAGCUACCUGCCUGAAAGACCCCAGUCUCUGUCUGAAAUCUCUUAAAAGCAUUUACGCGUAGUUUUGUAUUGUACUCCAUUGAACUUUUUGUUUCAAGAACUAUACUCUCUUUCAAAACUUUCAUGGUUUUCAUCAA
Non-coding RNA from Camelina sativa (false flax), 515 nucleotides. The record is from RefSeq and is a predicted model, not a curated record. Lineage: Eukaryota; Viridiplantae; Streptophyta; Magnoliopsida; Brassicales; Brassicaceae.